UACGGAGGAUCCAAGCGUUAUCCGGAAUCAUUGGGUUUAAAGGGUCCGUAGGUGGAUAAUUAAGUCAGAGGUGAAAGUCUGCAGCUCAACUGUAGAAUUGCCUUUGAUACUGGUUAUCUUGAAUUAUUGUGAAGUGGUUAGAAUAUGUAGUGUAGCGGUGAAAUGCAUAGAUAUUACAUAGAAUACCAAUUGCGAAGGCAGAUCACUAACAAUAUAUUGACACUGAUGGACGAAAGCGUGGGGAGCGAACAGG
This 253-nucleotide ribosomal RNA is filed under the name uncultured bacterium. Its description in RNAcentral is "partial 16S ribosomal RNA". It matches the Rfam family "Bacterial small subunit ribosomal RNA", at positions 524 to 776 of the family's 1533-position model. The record is from RNAcentral.